AGAGUUUGAUCCUGGCUCAGGAUGAACGCUGGCGGCGUGCUUAACACAUGCAAGUCGAACGAGGUUAUUACAGUUGAAGUUUUCGGAUGGAUACCGUUUUAACCGAGUGGCGGACGGGUGAGUAACGCGUGGGGAACCUGCCCCAUUCCGGGGGAUACCAGUUGGAAACGACUGUUAAUACCGCAUAAGCGCACAGUACCGCAUGGUACAGUGUGAAAAACUCCGGUGGAAUGGGAUGGCCCCGCGUCUGAUUAGGCAGUUGGCGGGGUAACGGCCCACCAAACCGACGAUCAGUAGCCGACCUGAGAGGGUGACCGGCCACAUUGGGACUGAGACACGGCCCAAACUCCUACGGGAGGCAGCAGUGGGGAAUAUUGCACAAUGGGGGAAACCCUGAUGCAGCGACGCCGCGUGAGUGAAGAAGUAUUUCGGUAUGUAAAGCUCUAUCAGCAGGGAAGAAGAUGACGGUACCUGCACAAGAAGCCCCGGCUAACUACGUGCCAGCAGCCGCGGUAAUACGUAGGGGGCAAGCGUUAUCCGGAUUUACUGGGUGUAAAGGGAGCGCAGACGGAAGGCCAAGUCAGGUGUGAAAGGCAUGAGCUCAACUCAUGGACUGCACUUGAAACUGGUCAUCUUGAGUAUCGGAGGGGCAGGCGGAAUUCCUGGUGUAGCGGUGAAAUGCGUAGAUAUCAGGAAGAACACCGGUGGCGAAGGCGGCCUGCUGGACGAUAACUGACGUUGGGGCUCGAAAGCGUGGGGAGCAAACAGGAUUAGAUACCCUGGUAGUCCACGCAGUAAACGAUGAAUACUAGGUGCUGGUUUCCACAGGGAAUCGGUGCCGCCGCUAACGCAAUAAGUAAUCCACCUGGGGAGUACGUUCGCAAGAAUGAAACUCAAAGGAAUUGACGGGGGCCCGCACAAGCGGAGGAGCAUGUGGUUUAAUUCGAUGAUACGCGAGGAACCUUACCUGGACUUGAACGUAUUAGGCAUAAUUUGGAAACAGAUUAGUUAGCAAUAACCUGAUACGAGGUGCUGCAUGGUUGUCGUCAGCUCGUGCCGUGAGGUGUCAGGUUAAGUCCUAUAACGAGCGCAACCCCUACACAUAGUUACCAACACGUUAAGGUGGGGACUCUAUGUGGACUGCCGGCGCAAGCAGAGAGGAAGGUGGGGACGACGUCAAAUCAUCAUGCCCCUUAUGAUCUGGGCUACACACGUACUACAAUGGCGCAAACAAAGGGAAGCGAAGCCGCGAGGCGGAGCAAAUCCCAAAAAAGGCGUCUCAGUUCGGAUAGUAGGCUGCAACCCGCCAACUUGAAGCUGGAAUUGCUAGUAAUCGUAGGUCAGCAUACUACGGUGAAUACGUUCCCGGGCUUUGCACUCAACGCCCGUCA
RNAcentral lists this ribosomal RNA (1391 nucleotides) under uncultured bacterium. RNAcentral describes it as "bacterial SSU rRNA". It matches the Rfam family "Bacterial small subunit ribosomal RNA". The record is from RNAcentral.